UACGUAGGCAGCGAGCGUUGUUCGGAGUUACUGGGCGUAAAGAGUGCGUAGGCGGUUUUCUAAGUUUGGUGUGAAAUCUCCCGGCUUAACUGGGAGGGUGCGCCGAAAACUGGAAGGCUUGAGUAUGGGAGAGGUAAGCGGAAUUCCUGGUGUAGCGGUGAAAUGCGUAGAUAUCUGGAGGAAUACCGGUGGCGAAGGCGGCAUCCUGGACCGACAUUGACGCUGAGGAGCGAAAGCUAGGGGAGCAAACGGG
This 253-nucleotide ribosomal RNA is filed under the name uncultured bacterium. Its description in RNAcentral is "partial 16S ribosomal RNA". It matches the Rfam family "Bacterial small subunit ribosomal RNA", at positions 524 to 776 of the family's 1533-position model. The record is from RNAcentral.